This is a long non-coding RNA of Astatotilapia calliptera (eastern happy), 1218 nucleotides long. Lineage: Eukaryota; Metazoa; Chordata; Actinopteri; Cichliformes; Cichlidae. The record is from Ensembl.
CUUGGCAGAUACACAUCAGGGUGCAUGAACAUGAAUGUCUGGAAUAAAAUAAUGUGGAUGCAAGCGCGCACUUAAUACGAACACGCCAGCAGGUCAGAAGACCUCAAAUCUUGCAGAAAGAACUGAAACCUACCAAAAACAAACUGAGAAAAUGAGGGAAAUGCACAGGUAACGAAAAGCGAAAGAGGGAAGCAAGCAGCACUUUGUACGUGGUGGAGAGACAUGUAGUGAAACUAAUGAUGGUUUGGACGCCAAGACGGUUCACACAGAAGUACACCCGAAGAGAAAAGUGAAGGGGAACAUAGUAAAUUACUAAAACAUUAUACUGUUUAAUUUGAAGUCCACAGGAUUAAAGCAAUGCAUCAUUUUCUCAUGAUUAUUUUCACUGUCAUCCGUGCUUAAGUCAUUCUGUAAAAGCCUUUCUAAGAGAUAAAGGCCUGAAGCUUGUGCUUUUCUGUCCACACUGGAAUGUUUUAAGUUUACCUGAACAGUGGUCUCAGCUUGGAUCUUUUUUUAAAUCAAAUUCCAUGUCAGUCUAUAACGCCAGCUUAGUUUUUUGGAACAAGAAGUUACCAUCCUUGGGCAAGAAGGUAAGACUGGCAGGCUUGGCUAGCACCAUGCACAAACACACAUAUCUGCCAAUUAGUUCUGCAUCACAAAACGAUUGAUUCCACUUACCUAAACCAAAACUUCUUAGAUGGGGGGCAGAACUUGUUUCUCUGUGGAGUUUACAUGUUCUCUCUGUUCCUGUGUUGGUUUCUCCCACAGUUCAAAAACAUGGCUAAAAUAACUGGUGUAUCUAAAAAGGCCAUGGAUGUAAGGUGGACACAUUUUUUUAAGUGUAAAGAAUAAAGUGCUGCAUGAAUGUAUAGUUAAAGUGUGACUUGUAGUUAAAAGCUCUUUGAGUGGUCUGGAAGACUAGAAAAUAAAUGUGAUUAUAUUAUAUUACCUUUGCAUCAACAAACACCAGAAGCAUUACAGAAUAAUCUAAAAGGAAACAAAUUACAGUCAUUUUCUUCUGAGCUUACUGAGAGCAGAACUCAGAGUGGUUGAGGGAGGUCAUAAUAUUAGAGUGGGAAAUGUAUUUACAAGUUCCACACAUGCAAGAUGUCCUGUUACUGCGUUGAGUGCACAGAUUUACUCGCAAUAAGCAAUUUUUGUUCAUUAUUGAUAGUUGUGAGGAUUUUUGCAAUCAGCGAGCAUAGAGUUAAAUUAUUA